RNAcentral lists this transfer RNA (70 nucleotides) under Liolaemus tenuis. RNAcentral's name for it is "tRNA-Gln". Lineage: Eukaryota; Metazoa; Chordata; Lepidosauria; Squamata. The record is from RNAcentral. RNAcentral also lists the same sequence under 1 other name.
UUAGAAGGACAGGACUCGAACCCGCACCUAGAAGCUCAAAACCUCCAGCACUCCAUUGUACUACCAUCUA